This is a long non-coding RNA of Apis dorsata (giant honeybee), 951 nucleotides long. RefSeq lists it as uncharacterized. Lineage: Eukaryota; Metazoa; Arthropoda; Insecta; Hymenoptera; Apidae. The transcript has 2 exons. The record is from RefSeq and is a predicted model, not a curated record.
GAAGCGGAGGAUGGUAAUCAUGGAUGAUCGAAAAUCGAAUUAAUUAAAAAGAAUUAAAAAAGGAGUUAAGUGGAACGUCUUGGUACUUUUUAUACGGAUAAAAAUGUCUGGAAAAGAAGAACUCGUUGAGAGGAAUAGAAAUCGGUCUCAUUUUGCAGCGAUGAAGAGAACGAAUCGACGAAUGAAACUAGGGAAAAAGAUUAUUUGGAACAAUUCUUCGAUUCGUCUAAUACCAAUUUUACCAAUUCGAGAUCAAUUUGCGGGACGUGUUUCGUUGUUAAACAAAAGAAAAAGAAAUUUUCAAGCGUACUUAUAUCGAAGAUUAUCAUGGGAUGAGAAACGAUGAAACUUUCUGGAUUGUUGUAAUACGUAAAAGAGUGUAACUACUGAACUAGAGGAUAAUUUUUGAACGAAGGUUAUAAAGAUAGUAUGGAAGUUGAGUUUGAACCAGUAAUGGUUGAAAGAUUAGUAACGAUGGAUUGGCAAAAAGUUUGGAGGAUCAUUACAUGGAUCAAUAUGUUACACGUAUGAGAUUCCAGUUUAAUGAUCGAUCUUGAUUUUAACAAUUACUUUGUUAAAAUGAAGAGAAAUAUUCGACAAAUGUUUGAAGAAAAUAUAUCUAUUUUUUCUUUUAAUACAACAUCAGAUAUAUUUUUUGCAGUCGUCUUAUCGUAAAAUUUCAAGAGGUCUUUUUGAAAACGUGGCUAACCCACCGGAAAAGGGAAUGAAAAAUUUUUGCUCUGAAAUUCAGGAACCGUCUUCAAAUAUGCAUAUUUCAAGGCGCGACCUCUUGAAAGGAAACGACGAAAAGUACCAUUUUCUUACUUCUCCGUUCUUUUACGAAUCAACUUUGAAUUACACAAUCUUAUUUUAAUCUUCCACACCUUUUUUUUUUUUUUCUUCUCCAAUAUUACGUUGUAAGAUCUAAAAUAAAUUAUUAGAAAUUAAAAA